UACGUAGGGGGCGAGUGUUGUCCGGAUUUAUUGGGCGUAAAGAGCUCGUAGGCGGUUCGGUAAGUCAGAUGUAAAAACUCCAGGCUCAACUUGGAGAGGCCAUCUGAUACUGCCGUGACUAGAGUCCGGUAGAGGAGCACGGAAUUCCUGGUGUAGCGGUGAAAUGCGCAGAUAUCAGGAGGAACACCAGCGGCGAAGGCGGUGCUCUGGGCCGGAACUGACGCUGAGGAGCGAAAGCGUGGGGAGCGAACAGG
RNAcentral lists this ribosomal RNA (254 nucleotides) under uncultured bacterium. Its description in RNAcentral is "partial 16S ribosomal RNA". It matches the Rfam family "Bacterial small subunit ribosomal RNA", at positions 524 to 776 of the family's 1533-position model. The record is from RNAcentral.